GACGAACCGUGCAAACGUUGUUCGGAAUCACUGGGCUUAAAGGGCGCGUAGGCGGGUUCCCAAGUCGGUGGUGAAAUCUUUCGGCCCAACCGGAAAAGUGCCGCCGAUACUGGGAGUCUCGAGGGAGGUAGGGGUCGAGGGAACUUCCGGUGGAGCGGUGAAAUGCGUAGAUAUCGGAAGGAACGCCGGUGGCGAAAGCGCUCGACUGGACCUCUUCUGACGCUGAGGCGCGAAAGCCAGGGGAGCAAACGGG
This 253-nucleotide ribosomal RNA is filed under the name uncultured bacterium. RNAcentral's name for it is "partial 16S ribosomal RNA". It matches the Rfam family "Bacterial small subunit ribosomal RNA", at positions 524 to 776 of the family's 1533-position model. The record is from RNAcentral.